GACGAAGGAUGCAAGCGUUAUCCGGAUUCAUUGGGCUUAAAGGGAGCGUAGGUGGCCUUAUAAGUCAGUGGUGAAAUCUCUGGGCUUAACCCAGAAAUUGCCAUUGAUACUGUAGGGCUUGAGUACAGUUGCUGUGGGCGGAAUAUGACAUGUAGUGGUGAAAUACAUAGAGAUGUCAUAGAACACCGAUUGCGAAGGCAGCUCACAAAACUGUAACUGACACUGAGGCUCGAAAGUGCGGGGAUCAAACAGG
Molecule: ribosomal RNA, 253 nt
Filed under: uncultured bacterium
Lineage: Bacteria
Description: partial 16S ribosomal RNA
Rfam family: Bacterial small subunit ribosomal RNA
Source: RNAcentral